CCUACGGGUGGCAGCAGUGGGGAAUAUUGCACAAUGGGGGAAACCCUGAUGCAGCAACGCCGCGUGAGUGAAGAAGUAUUUCGGUAUGUAAAGCUCUAUCAGCAGGGAAGAAAAUGACGGUACAUGAGUAAGAAGCACCGGCUAACUCCGUGACAGCAGCCGCGGUAAUACGUAGAGGGCAAGCUUUAUCCGGAUUGACUGGGUGUAAAGGGAGCGUAGACGGCGAUGCAAGUCUGAAGUGAAAGCGCGGGGCGAAACCCCGGGACUGCUGUGGAAGCUGUAUGGCUGGAGUGCUGGAGAGGCUAGUGGAAUUCCUAGUGUAGCGGUGAAAGGCGUAGAUAUUAGGAAGAACACCAGUGGCGAAGGCGGCGUGCUGGACAGUAACAGACGUUGAGGCUCGAAAGCGUGGGGAGCAAAUAGGAUUAGAUACCCUAGUAGUC
This 440-nucleotide ribosomal RNA is filed under the name uncultured bacterium. RNAcentral's name for it is "partial 16S ribosomal RNA". It matches the Rfam family "Bacterial small subunit ribosomal RNA", at positions 338 to 795 of the family's 1533-position model. The record is from RNAcentral.